GUGGUUCCAUUCCCAGCUUUCCAAGGAAUCUCCAUACUGCUUUCCAAAUUGGCUGCACCAAUUUGCAGUCCCACCAGCAAUGUAUGAGUGUACCUUACCCCCCCCCCCAUCCUCCCCAGCACUUAUUGUUGUUUGACUUCAUAAUGGCUGCCUCUCUGACUGGAGUGAGAUGGUAUCUUAGGGUGGUUUUGAUUUGCAUUUCUCUGAUUGCUAGAGAUGGUGAGCAUUUUUUCAUGUAUUUGUUAAUUGAUGGUAUGUCCUCUUCUGAGAAGUUUCUGUCCAAGUCCUUGGCCCAUUUGUUGAUUGGGUUAUCUGCUUUUUUGUUGUUUAACUUUUUGAGUUCUUUGUACACUCUAGAGAUUAGAGCUCUAUCUGAUGUUUGAGGGGUAAAAAUUGGUUCCCAGGAUGUAGGCUCCCUAUUCACCUCGCAUAUUAUUUCUCUUGCUGAGAAAAAACUUUUUCAGUUUGAAUUCGUCCCAUUUGUUGAUUCUUGGUUUUAACUCUUGUGCUAUAGGAGUCUUAUUAAGGAAUUUGGGGCCUGCCCCCACGAGAUGAAGAUGAGGACCAACUUUAUCUUCUAUUAGACGCAGAGUCUCUGGUCUGAUUCCUCAGUCUGCCGUCUUGAAAGCCUGACCGUGCAGAACCCCUGAAGCUCUCCUGGGAGGAACCAUCACCACCCUCAGAAAGGCCACCUUGACUUUGGUCACUUUACAGGGGACAAAAACCAACUCUGUUCUUGGAGCCACGAGGGCCACUCCUUUAAGUGCCAAAAGGCGCCCCCUUACAGGAACCCUGAAUUCCACCUCGGAGCAUCAAUACCUCCAUGAACCAGGCUGCAUAUAUUUACAGAGGGAAUCAUAUCACCCAUUUCCCUGGUGGUAAAGGGAGAAGAUGACCAAGGCUCAUCAGUGGAUGUGUCCUGUCUUGUGGAAACCCUCACAUACUUCUCUGGGAGCUCGAGGAUGGCCUGGUGCCUGCCCUGCAGCAGGGUAACACCCCCUAUGUCCAUGGGGUUUUGUAUUUGUACCAGGAUUUGGCCAGUACCCAGAAGGCUCUGGAGCUGCUGGGUAAAAGGUAUGGACGCCUCCAGCCAUAUGUUGAGGAGGAGUACCUUCAAGACAAGAAAUCAUGACUCACCUUCUUCUCAUUCCCUAAGAAACAAUUGCCGCAGUCUGGCUGGACACAAUCAGGAGCCACUUGUCAAAAGAAACUAACUUUAUUUUUAGAACCACACAGGCCAAACAAAACAGCCUCUCAGGAAAAACCCUCAGAGCCUCAACUGCCACCACCGGCUUUCCACAAGCCUCUCUCUCCCACACAAGCUUCUCUCCACCUCCCACAAUCCUCCUGCUCUUGAGGCCGAUUGGCUGGGUCACGUGGGCGGAGCCAAAAAAGUCCCCCAAUGAGCAGCUCCGUGGUCUGAAAGGGCAGGGAAACAGUCCAAUGAGCAUCACCGCAGAGGAGCCAAUCAGCUAGAUGUUGCUGGGGCCGAGGAGCCAAUCAGCUAGAUGUUGCUGGGGCCGCUGUGAGCCAACCAUCAGCCAGCAGCUGGAAGUUUGCUGGCAGCUGGAAGUUUGCUGGGGCCCCUUCGGCUGUGGCUCUCAACAAACAAUAUUGAAGUUAGACCAGUUAAUUACUCUGUAAUGGACUGAACAGUUGGAAUAAAAGGAAGAGUUCCAUGUUUUGCAUUCCAAAUAGAAAGCUGUGCCUUGGGCUGGGCUGUAGCUCAGUGGCAGAGUGCUUGCCUAGAAUGUAUGAGGCACUGAGUUCAAUCCUUAGCACUACAAAAAAAAAAAAAAAAAAAAAAAAAAAAACUAAACAAAGAAAGGCAUGCUGUUGAUCUAAAACUAUUAAAAAAAGAAAGAAAGAAAGAAGGAAAGAAAGGAUAGAAAAAAAAAGCUGUGCCUCUUGAAUAGUUAGUCCCAAUGAGAAUGCAAGGGAAAUGUUCAUAAAGAAAAUUAAAGUGCUGCUCCAGGGCAUAUGUGAAUGAUAAGAAAGCAAAACAGCUGAUAGGGAUAAAGUUUUCAUAGUCUGGAGAACAGAUGAAACAAGCCACGUUCCCUUAAGCCAAAACCGCAUCCAGAUAAGGCCAAAACAUUAGAUUUUUCUGAUGCCAAGAGAAGGGAGAAAGCUCCAGAAGAAGUCUGAAGGUGGCAGAAUUUGGUUCAUGAUGUUGGAGGCAAGAGGCCCAUCUCCAUAUAAGACAAGUGCAGGGUGAAGCAGCAAGUGCUGAUGUAGAAGCUACAGCAAGUCAUGAAGAAGAUCUUGCUAAGCUAUCUGAUGAAGACGCGAUAUGGUUGAGUUUCUCGGUGUCCCCUAAAAGCUCAUGGGUGAGACAAUGCAAGAAGGUUUAGAGGGGAAAUGAUCCUGUUAUGAGAGCCUAAAGCCAAUUAGUGAAUUAAUCCCCUGGCAGGAUGAACAGGUGGCACAGAUAAAAUGGGGUGCCCACACCCUCCCCAAGCCUGGAGGUGUAGGCGCCACCUGUGGAGGAGUCCAGUUGCAGGGUGGAAGCGAACAGCAGCCAUCCUCAACGUUCCACAUUAGGGUUCCACAUUGGAGGUUCCCAGCAACCAGCGGCAUCCCUCUGCGGGCAGGACAUUCAUCAGCGAGCCUAGGUGCCCUAAGGCCCUUUGGGGGGAGUCCAGUUGAAUCGGUGGCUGCAUGGAAAUAGGUGUCCAAAUAGGAGCAUCCUCAUCCAUUGGCGGUGGCGGGAGUCUGCUUCCAGUGCAGUGGAGGUGUUGGCAGCAUUACUGGUGGCCAGGUCGGGACUCCAGUGGCCACAGUGUGGAGCGCUGGCUGUGGCGACAGCGACAGCGUAGGGCAGCGGGCCUCAGAGUCAGAGGGCGACCAGAGGAUGGGGUGCCCUGUGCUGUGGCUACCCCAGGCCACUUGUCUUGCUCCUGGCAGGGCCUGCCUGCUCAGGAAGCAGGACACGGCAGGCGGCGGUACCCACACAGCCUCUGAGGACCUUAUGCUGCCCACGCAGGUGGCGCCUGGCACCGGCCCUGAGCCCCCCGGGUGGCAGCUCGCCCCACCCCGGGUUCGCCCUGCCCCUCCCUGGGUUGCGGCCUCUGCGGGAGGAGUAGGCCCGCUACCAGCCGGGGCAGCCUUUGGAGAGGACACCCACCCUCCCCAGCGACAUCUCUCCUGGGCUGUGGCCACUGAGAGCAGAGGCAGUGGGGGGUGGGGCUACAAAUCCUCCCCCUCAAAGCGCAUCCCUGGGGCGGGACAAGGGUGGAGGGCAUAGAUGGCAGAGGGAACCCCAAGACCUGCCGUCCUUGGUCUUGGUCUUCUGCCACCCUUAGACAAAGAAAUGUACUUAAAAAAAAUUAAUUAGCUCUAAUUAGUUGUACAUAACAGCAGAAUUCACUUUGGUUCUUUGUACAGAAAUGGAGCACAGCUUUUCAUUUCUCUGGUAGAACACGAUGUAGAGUUGCACCAUAUGUGCAGUCCUGCAUGUACCUAGGGUAAUGAUAUCCGUCUCAUUCCACCCUCUUUCCUACCCCAUGCCCGUCCCUCCUAUCCUUCCCCUUUGCCCCAAGUUCCUCCAUUCUUCCCUUGCCCCCCUCAUUAUGGAUCAGCAUCCACUUAUCAGGGAGAACAUUCAGCCUGUUGUUUUUGAGGAUUAGCUUUUUUCACUUACAUAAUAUUCUCCAACUCCAUCCACUUACCUGCAAGUGUCAUAAUUUUAUUCUCUUUUAAAGCUGAUUCCAUUGUGCACAUAUACCACAUUUUCUUUAUCGAUUUAGCUCUUGAAGGACUUCUAGGUUGGUUCCACAGUUUACCUACUGUGACUUGAGCUGCUAUAAACAUUGAUGUGGCUGCAUCACUCUAGUAUGCUGAUGUUAAGUCUUUUGGGUAUAGAUUGAGGAGUGGAAUUUCUGGGUCAAAUGGAGGUUCCAUUCCAUGUUUUUUGAGGAAGCUCCAUACUGCUUUCCAGAGUGGUUGCACCAAUUUGCAAUGCCACUAGCAAUGUAUGAGUAUACCUUCCCCCCCCCCCCACAUCCUCACCAACACUUAUUGUUGCUUGUAUUCUUGUUAACUGCCAUUCUGGCUGGAGUAAGAUGGUCUUAGAGUAGUUUUGAUUUGCAUUUCUCUAAUUUCUGGUGAAGUUGAACAUAUUUUCAUACAUUUGUUGAUCGACUGUGUAUCUUCUUCUGUGAAGUGUCUGUCCAUUUCCUUAGCCCAUUUAUUUAUUGGGUUAUUUAUUCUUUGGGUGUUGAAGUUUUUGAGUUUUUAAUAUAUCCUGGAAAUUAGUGUUUUAUCUAAUGUGCGUGCAGUAAAGAUGUUCUCCCACUCUGUGAGCUCUCUCUUCAUAUUAUUGUUUCCUUUGCUGAGAAGAAGCUUUUAAGUUUGAAUCCAUCCCAUUAUUAAUUCUUGAUUUUAUUUCUUAAGUACAGGGUCUCUGGUCUAAUUCCUAGGUCCUUAAUCUACUUUGAGUGUUUGUGCAAGGUGAGAGAUCGUGGUUUAAUUUCAGUCUGCUACAUAUGGAUUUACAGUUUCCCCAGCACCAUUGUUGAAGAGGCUAUCGUUUAGCUAAUGUAUGUUUUCGGCACCUUUGUCAAGAAUGAGAUAACUACAUUUAUGUGGGUUUUUCUCUGUAUCUUCUAUUUUGGACCAUUGGUCUACAUGUGUAUUUUGGUGCCAAUAGCAUGCCGUUUUUGUUACUACAGAUCUGUAGUAGUUUAAGUUUUGAUAUUGUGAUGUCUCCUACUUCACUCUUUUUGCUAAGGAUUGCUUUGUCAAUAAGGAUUUCUCUGUGUCUAUUUUUCCAAAUGAAUUUCAUGAUUACUUUUUCUAUUUCUAUGAGGAAUGUUAUUGGGAUUUUAAUUGGAAUCACAUUAAAUCUGUAUAAGGUUUAUGAUAGUGUGGCCAUGAGGGAGGAAUUGGAAUCAGGUACCUGCUCAAAAGGGUAGGGAUCCGAUAGCCACGCCCACCUCAAAAUGGCAAGGAAUGCUUUCCAAGAUGUAGUCGGUGUGAUGUCAGGGGAACCGAUGGCCUUGUGCUGUGGGGAGGUAGCAGCUGAGUGACCUGCGUGGGAGUGGAGCGAGUCUCAGCGGUCUGCAGAUGUGUUGGUAGGUGGUUCUGCUAAGGCGCUGGCCAAGUCUUAAGUGAACUGCAACUUUGGCUUUGGGUCCUGCUCGGACACUGAGGCCCUGAGUCCUGCGUGAGGUCACAGCGCUGGUCAUUUCUGUAGAGAGAAGCUGUACAGGGGCCUCUAACACUCUCAAGAGAUGCAGAAUUCCUACUAGGAGAGAUCUGGAUCACAGAGCAACACAGAUGCUGCUUCCCUCUGGUCCACCAUCUUUGAAAGUCUUUUCAAUUUCUUUCUUUAGUUUUCAUUGUAUAGGUCUUUCAUCUCUUUUGUUAAAUUUAUACCCAAAUAUUUCAUUUUUGAGGCUAUUGUGAAUGGGAUAGUUUUCCUAAUUUCUCUUUCAGAGGGUUCAUCACUAAUAGAUAGAAAUGCAUUUGAUUUAUGAAUAUUGAUUUCAUAUCCUGUGACAUUGCUGAAUUUGUUAAUAUUAGAAGUUUUCUGGUGGAGUUUUUUUGGAUCCUCUAUGUGUAGAAUCAUGUCAUCAGCAAAUAGGGAUAGUAUGAGUUCUUCUUCCCCUAUUCCUAUCCCUUUAAUUUCUUUCAUCUACAGCUCUGUCAUGUAGUCUAAGCUGUACUGGAGUUUAAACAGCAGUAUAGUUUAAACUCUGGCUAGAGUAUCAGGGACUAUGUAGAGUAGAAGGUGAGAGAGGGCAUCCUUGUCCUGUUCCAGUUCUGAGAGGAAAUGCUUCCAAUCAGAAAUGCACUUUGAGGAUGAAGAGGUCCUAGUUCCUCUGCUCCCUCCCCCCACAGCCCAGGUGGGAUGUCUCUUAGGAAGGUGAGGGUCCUCUCCCAAGGCUGCCCCACCUGGCAGAUGGCCUAGUUCCCCCGCAGAGGCCACAUCGGGGAUGGGGCGAGCAGCCACCCGGCGGGCUCAUGGCCAGUGCCAGGCGAGGCAGGUGUGGGCAGCCUAAGGUCCUCAGCAGCUGCCUGGGUAUUGCCACCCCCCUCGUGCUGCUUCCUGAACAGGCCGCUCAGCCAGGACCAAGACCCAGGGCCUGGAACAGCCACUGCAGAGGCCAUUCCAGCCUCUCGUCGCCCUUCCACUCUGAGGCUCACUGCCCUGCGCCCUCGCUGCCGCCACCAGCCUGGAGCUCUUCACUGUAGCCACGGGACUCCCCACAUGGUCGCCAGAUGCCACUGCAGCAGUAUUCCUGUUACCCCAGCAGGAUGAAGAUGCUCACCACUGGACGCCUCUGUGUCCUCAGCCCCGUUUCCAGACUCUACUGGUGCUGCCGCCACCGUGCAGCAACCAAACUCCCAAACCCCAGCUGGACUAUGAUGCUGCCCACCAAGGGCCCAACGUCAAUGCCCUUCACCCCCCACCAUGAUGCCUGACUCCAGUGCCCCAUGCCGGCUCCCGGAUGAAGCUGCAUGUUGCUGCUGCCACCACCAGACUCCAUCAUGGACGCAAGACAGCGAUACUCAGCACUGGAUGCCCACUUCACCCACUGCAGCCAGACUCCUGUGGCACUGCAGGACAGAAAUGAUCAUGGCAACAUCCCUCUGUUGUCACCACAGCAGCUUCUGGACUCUUCUGCUGCCACCGCCACAGUGAGUAUGCAGCAAGGGAUCUCCCAAACUGCAGCUGGAUGCCAACACCUCAGCUGUUGCCACCCCCAUGCCAACUCUCAACUCCGGACCUCCCUCGCCUGAUGCCCUAUGCCUGAAGCAGCUACAUGUUGCUGCUGCUGCCACCAGAUGCUACCACUCCAUGAGGCCUCUUCAGUGAUUCCAUCCCAAAGAUGCUGCUGUGCUGCCCAAGACCACAGAAGCUGGGAAGUUGGGCAGUCUCCAUCCCAGUCGCCUCAUCAGAGCCCACCGCUUGCCGCCUGCCUUUCCUCCCCCAGGACCACCCACCAGUCCUUCUGGGCCCUUGAGCAGGAGUUGUGCUGACUCAGGGAACUCAUCCAAGGAAAACAACUGACCAUCAGGAAGAAGGAAACACCAGAGAAGCUUGAGGAUCAGAAGGACACUAGCCCUGCUCUGGUCACCCUGGAAGCUAGCUAGCCUGCACACACCAAAGCUUGAGGAAACAGCAGCCCUGCUUCAGCCACUUGAGGGCUGGCUGAUCAAUGCAAGGAGGAAAAUAAACUAGGCAACAGGACAAAUGGACUGUUUCAUCCUGUAAGAGGGCUCUCAUACUGUGGUGCAUUGCCACCCCUUACUUCUGUCAUAUGCACAGUCCUUUCCUUGGUCUUUACUACAGGACUGACAACAACCAAACACACAGCUAACCCAUAAUGGGGGGCGGGGCAAGGGAAGAUGGGAGGGACUUUGGAUUGGGCAGAGGGGAGUGUGGGAGGGGAGGGGAUAUGGGAGUGGGAAGGAUGGUGGAAUGAGGUGGAUUGUAUUAAUCUAUGUACAUGUAUGAUUGCAGGAAUGGGGUGACUGUGCACUGUGUCUAACCAGAGAAAUGAAAAGUUGCCUCCAUUUGUGUUUAAUAGUCAAAAUGCAUUCUGCUGUUAUAUAUAACUAAUUGAAAAAAAUUCAUAAAGGACUAAGGCUUAAAAGGAAGUCUGGACACUUUAAUGGUCAUAAAAAUAUGUAUACUUUUCUUAUAUAAAAUUUAAACUUAUUAAUUAAAUUGAAAAAAAAAAACAACAACAACUAGCACAUGUACUAGUUCAAACCUGAAAGGGCAUUAAGGCUUGGGAACCAAGCUCACUCUUUGGAGGAUGGUUUUUCUAUUCUUGGUGGAUUCAAAAGUUUAAUUGACAUAGAAUGGAUUAUGCUAUUGUUUAUUGCUUUCAUGUUUGUCUCCCUUUUACAAUGAAACAUUGGGUCAACUACAGAAGCAGCUAUUGGGGUGGGGAGGGAGUAACAGAGAGAGAAAUUAAGAUUACGGCAUUAUAUAAAAUGUUAAGCCUAGAAGAUAAUGAUGUUUUUUGACUUAAAGGGUUAAAUAAUGAGCAUAGAGGGGGUAACGAUGUACCACAAAUACUCCAAAUGAUGUAGUGUCCAAAAGAUCCCCACCUUAAUUGUAAUAUAUAAGCCUUUCUCCUAGUAAACAAGAUAUUUUUAAAAAGUCAA
Molecule: long non-coding RNA, 8124 nt
Organism: Marmota monax (woodchuck)
Lineage: Eukaryota; Metazoa; Chordata; Mammalia; Rodentia; Sciuridae
Exons: 7
Source: RefSeq, a predicted model, not a curated record